Non-coding RNA from Triticum aestivum (bread wheat), 135 nucleotides. The record is from Rfam. NCBI's taxonomy places the organism in Eukaryota, Viridiplantae, Streptophyta, Magnoliopsida, Poales, Poaceae.
CUAGUACUCCCUCCGUCCAAAAAUACUUGUCAUCAAAAUGAAUAAAAGGGAAUGUAUCUAGAUGUAUUUUAGUUCUAAAUACAUCCCUUUUUGUCUACUUUGAUGACAAGUAUUUUCGAACGGAGGGAGUAUGCA